CCGGUACCGGUUCACGUCGACGUUUCGCGUCGGCGACCCGGCGACC
This 46-nucleotide non-coding RNA is filed under the name uncultured Stackebrandtia sp. Its description in RNAcentral is "L31-Actinobacteria ribosomal protein leader". It matches the Rfam family "L31-Actinobacteria ribosomal protein leader". The record is from RNAcentral. Lineage: Bacteria; Bacillati; Actinomycetota; Actinomycetes; Glycomycetales; Glycomycetaceae.